GUAACGGUGUCUUUAGACACCACCGCAUUUUCUUCGAAAUUUUGU
Picea glauca (white spruce) is the source of this 45-nucleotide non-coding RNA. The record is from Rfam. Lineage: Eukaryota; Viridiplantae; Streptophyta; Pinopsida; Pinales; Pinaceae.